Long non-coding RNA from Gadus morhua (Atlantic cod), 408 nucleotides. RefSeq lists it as uncharacterized. The record is from RefSeq and is a predicted model, not a curated record. The transcript is spliced from 3 exons. NCBI's taxonomy places the organism in Eukaryota, Metazoa, Chordata, Actinopteri, Gadiformes, Gadidae.
GAGGUCCUGAUCGAUGAGCUGGCGUAUAGGCUUCGAGACGGACUUCAAGGCUGGUUCCCAGAUAGACGGCGUAGUAAAAGGUAACACCGCCUGACCAGGUGGUGGAGUGGUCAGCGCCGGCGAGGAGGACGACGGACAGAGUCGCUUCCGGGUCGCGGCACUUGCGAGGGAGAGACGGUUGGGUCUAGGGGCUGAGGAAGCGGGAAUGGUGACUGGGGGCUCCGGGUCCGGCGUGGGAGAUCCAAGGCUCGUCUCCAGGACGCCAGGAGGGUCAAUGACUGCCGAGGUGGUCCGCACCGGUGGGACGACCGGAGGAGGACGUGGCCUGGUCACUGGUGCCAUAGUGGACUGUGGUCGUCUGGGAAGCGGUGGAAAGGCCCCAAGGUCCGAGAGGAGCAGUGGAGUGGC